GGGGGGGGGGGGGGCGGGCGGGGACCUGCCGCCGCUGCCGGCUCUUUGUCUGCUCGGGCAACUUGAACAAAAGGCGAAACUCGGAUGAACUCUCUCCAUCUCUCCCUCUCCUCGCCCGGGUUAUCUCAGCUGCGGCAACUUUAAGCCGGCGAGAUUUCCCCAACUUUCCCGCAGCUCCCUAACAGCGGGCAGCCCCCCUCCAGGCUCCUAAGGCAGUUUGAGGAUAGGCGAAGGUCAAAACAUGGUCGUCAGGAAAAUGGGAUGCUUGCCAAAAUUGUCGGUCUGUGGUAGGUGCCAUACUGCAUUGUCCUUGGAAUGGUGGAAUACAACUUGGGUCUCCUCGGGGAUGACUGAUGUGGCACAAACUCUACCAAGCAACUACUGAAUGCGUUUACCUUUUGGAUAUGUAUGUAAGUUAGCGGGCUACUGGAAGAAAAUGAAGUCUUUUGCAGAAAUGUGAGGAUAUUGUAGAAAACACUGCUGCAAACCAUUUGGAUUAUAUUGCCAUCUGACAUUGCAGUCCUGCAGCUAACAGAAGGAAUUUGCCAGAUCUUUCUUGUUAUGUGGUUGCUGAAGCAUUUUCCUGGCACGGCAGUGAUGAUUGAUGAACACACUUCAGGUUUUGUAACUCUGACAACAGAUGACGUUACAUGUUAAAUUGGGUUUUAAUGAUCAAAAUAUUAUUUUAAGGUAUGAUCUGUCACUUCUAAUUCUUCCAUCAACCCACCUGUUCUUCCAGGAGUUAGUUCCAUCUACUUUAAGUUAUACCAGAUUGGAAUAUCUAUUCCAGAAGGCUUUACUUUUCUUAAACCACACUUGGCUCUGCUAAAAAAUAUUUGUGAAGUUGAUCCCUUACUAAACUUUUUACCAGUUAGCCUGCUCAUAAUUUGCUAAAAAUAUCUGCGUGAAGGGGAAAACAAAACACUUUUUUCUGUGUAUGUAGUGAGUUCCAACCUAUCACACUGGGGCGAUGCUGGCUCUCCAGCAAAUUAUGUUCUUCUGCCUCUUGUGAUCCAGGUUUGGUCACUCAACUUUUGCACAUAGAUCUGUAGCAGUCAUGAAUAAUCUGAUGUGGAUUUCAGCUGCUUCUGCCUGUGUUCCAGCAAAAAAUAUAGAGACUUCAAAAAAUUAGUUUUUCUAAAUAAAUCUGCUUCUAUAAAAGAUACAUUUCCAUUAAAACUCCCAAGAAUGUUAUGCAAAUACAGUAAAAAGAUAACACGUGCCAAUGCUGUUUUUUAGCACAGAGCUGCAAAAUCUUUUUCUCAGUCUUGUCAUGUACAAGAGUUAUCUGAUGUUGAUAAACUGUAAGAUUAUUGGUAGUACAUAAUUAUCCUCUGUAAUUGAUUAGAAUUGUGGGAACAAAUAUGUUGGCUGCUGUUAUAGUUUUUACCCUUGCCACUGUAUUAAAGUAUUUCCUUCAUUUACUUUUGAAUUUCACUUCACUUUAGCAGUUAAAAUUGUAAGCCUGAAUAUAAGGGCAAUUUCAGAAUUUCUUGAGUGGUUUUGUAACCUGUUCUUUGAGAUUGUGUCAAUCCAGGAUACAGUUAAGUUGUUGACAGCCUUGGCAGUUAACCCAAGCUCUUUAAAGACUACCCAAAGGCAUGUGAAGGUUGGUUUUGAUUCAAUUCUUGCUCUGCCUCCAGCUUCCUGGGAAACCAUGGAUGAAUUCCUUAGUCCCCACAGCAGUGUGAGGCAAGCACUUAAACACCUAUGUGACCUAAAGAAGGACCCAUGUGUUUCUUCUGAUAAAGAAAGUAGUAGCAUGCUGCACAAAAAUGUAGUCUCUAACAACACAUAAGCCCAUGGGUACAUUGAGCUUUCUGUGCAAAUGCGGGUCUGGUGCUGGU
This is a long non-coding RNA of Oxyura jamaicensis (ruddy duck), 1847 nucleotides long. RefSeq lists it as uncharacterized. The record is from RefSeq and is a predicted model, not a curated record. The transcript is spliced from 4 exons. NCBI's taxonomy places the organism in Eukaryota, Metazoa, Chordata, Aves, Anseriformes, Anatidae.